AAAUAGAGAUUGAGUUCAUAUAAAGCCAAUCUGAAUUGGAGGCUGAGUUCAUAUAAAGCCGACCUAAAUUGAAAGUUGAAUGCCAACCUGAAUUGAAGACUGAAUGCUGAUCUGACUCAUCUCAGCUUAUAUAUAUAAACACCGACCUGCACUACCUAAAUUGACUUCUAGUGAAAUAUUAUGAUCAGCUCAUAUAUAUAUC
RNAcentral lists this long non-coding RNA (202 nucleotides) under Elaeis guineensis (African oil palm). RNAcentral describes it as "long non-coding RNA (EGUI_LNC033240)". The record is from RNAcentral. Lineage: Eukaryota; Viridiplantae; Streptophyta; Magnoliopsida; Arecales; Arecaceae.